GACGAACGCUGGCGGCGUGCCUAACACAUGCAAGUCGAACGGGGAUAUAAUUUCGGUUAUAUCUUAGUGGCGAACGGGUGAGUAACGCGUGAGCAACCUGACUCUUAGAGGGGGAUAACACCCGGAAACGAGUGCUAAUACCGCAUAAGACCACGACAUGGCAUCAUGACGAGGUCAAAGGAGCAAUCCGCUGAGAGAGGGGCUCGCGUCCCAUUAGAUAGAUGGCGGGGUAACGGCCCACCAUGUCAGCGAUGGGUAGCCGAGCUGAGAGGCUGAUCGGCCACACUGGAACUGAGACACGGUCCAGACUCCUACGGGAGGCAGCAGUGGGGAAUAUUGGGCAAUGGGCGCAAGCCUGACCCAGCAACGCCGCGUGAGGGAAGAAGGUUUUCGGAUUGUAAACCUCUGUCGCAGAUGACGAAGGAAGUGACGGUAAUCUGUGAGGAAGCCCCGGCUAACUACGUGCCAGCAGCCGCGGUAAUCU
This 484-nucleotide ribosomal RNA is filed under the name uncultured bacterium. Its description in RNAcentral is "bacterial SSU rRNA". It matches the Rfam family "Bacterial small subunit ribosomal RNA", at positions 28 to 526 of the family's 1533-position model. The record is from RNAcentral.